UCUGUGACCUUCGCUGUCUCCUGGCAUGUGGAACAUUUUGCACUGCUGUUUUUACAAGCCAGGCGCUUAGCUGUCCAUCAACUGCCAGGAAAAUGCCUCGGAUCCUUUUGCCCCAUCGGACUCGCGCGCACAUCGAUUCCCCAGAAACCACAGUCGCAGUAGCUGUAACCGCUUCUCUGCGCUUUUCUGCCAAGCUCUUAAACACACUGAAACAAACCCUCUCCACUCUUUAUGACCUCUUUUACACACCGGCCUUCUCUCUUUACAUCUCCACCUCAUUCAUCCAUCCUGCGUGUCUCUCCAUCAUUUAUCUCUCUCGAAGUCUGCUCCCGAAAUAUCCUUUCUGCUUGGAAACAGGCCGUGUUAAAAGCUUGUUGUGGACCGCGGCUCUCUUUUUACCGUCACAUGGAAGGAUGCAGAGGUCAGGUGUUCCUUUGGGUUUGGAUGUCUUUACUUUAUUGCAGAGAUGGAGGGACGGAGGUACCGCUAAAAGCAGCCGUCAUUCAGACGCAGAUGGAACUGCAAAUGGAAAUCACAGAAAAAGAACAAGCAACUCAAGGAAAACAUCUUAUUUGAGUUCUACAGAAUGUAAGACGAAAUUAAAGUCGCAAGCAGCAUUGUAUGGCCUGCAGCUGCUGCCCACCCUCACCCAAACCGCGCCCCCAGACCCGCCCCCACAGGCCAAGUUGCUGCCACACCCCUGCCUGUGCUACCCUGUUAACAGAUGCACAAAUUCAUGACAAAAAAGUAAAAAUGGCGGCUUUUCAAUUGGCUUUAUCUUCAUAGGGACCAUUUUAUUUUUUGUUUACCUGGGGGUGACAAACACGUCUAUGUAAUUUUUUGAAGAAUCGGCAAAAGUCAACUUUUGGAUUUCCUUGGCAACGGAGGUUUUCAAUUCACCACGCUAACAUUCCUCAUGUGUUCAUAUCGUAUGUAAUGUUGUUUUGUACAGCUAAAGCCAAGGCUUCGUGUAUUACAUUUUCACAAUCUGGUACAAAAUGUGCGAGCAACAGCAGAACGCCAAUUUUGCUAGCUUAACAUCUUAACUCCAAAUAAAAAUUUAAAAUCUUGAAAACCAACAUAUUUUUCUAAGUAGCUUCCCAGUGAUGCUUAAAAAAUGAUGCGGCAAUAAAUCAAAAUCCCUAGGAGGAGUUACAACUUGUAGCUGCUAAUACAGGUGAGUUUUUUUUUAGAAUAGUCAAGAUGGCGGCCUCUUUCUGAGGUCAAAGGUUAAUGGAACUUCAGUUGUGGUUGGUGCAUGUGUGUGAAAUUUCAUAAAGAUUGCCCAAACAAAAGUUUUCUUUAUCCAUUUUGUGGGAAAAACACCAAAUUUGACACUGGGCCACUAAAUGGCCAUCAAGCCAUAGGUCCUGUGUCCAUCCUAUAAUAUUUUCAAAACCUCCUUUGGAUAUCUCUGACACACGUGUUUUGGUUUUGUUCAUUGAUUUUGACAUAUUUCUUUUUAAGCACCGUUAGAUGUUUUGGCCCUGUUCACUAUUUUGACGGUUUCACCCGCUGUGAUGUCAUCACAACUUUUUUUUGGGAGGGGUCAUUCACUAUGUCCAAAAUUCAUUUUCACCAGGCACAGGUGUGUGCAAAUGUCUUUUUUCUUUUCUUUUUUUUUGAGUAUUUGACCAUGUGGCGAGAAAGAUAUUUUCACUCAAAAAGUAAAAACAUGUAACUAAAGUUUUCCAAGUACUAAGUAGUAAUUUUGAGAUUGUCAUAAUUCAAUUCAAUCAAAUACCAGUUGUGACAAUGUUGUGGUUCAAGGUUUUUAGUGGCUAAAGGCACUUUAGCUGUUGUCUGUGUUCACAGGUAAGUUCUAGAAGAAGCGUCUCCUCCUUUUACCUGAGCUGACUAUAAGAUCCUCAAAGAUUUGUAACAGCUCAGAGUCGUAUUAAAUAAAGAAAAUAAUCUAUUUAUAAUCUACAAAGUUGAACUUGAAUAUUUUCCACUAAAAUCCGUUUUAUUUUUGUUUGUUUUUUGUGUUUGUCUUGGUUGUGUUUUCCCUCCUAUCACAGUCUCACCUGGUUUCAUUUGCUGAUUCUUCACAGCUGUCCUCAGUUUGGUCCAUCAUCCUCGGUGUAUUUAAGAGUCUAGGUUUUCAGUUUAGCUUGGCCGGGUUGUCUGUCAUCAGUUUUGGUCCUCCCUUGUCUUUAAGUUUAUUGAAGUUUUGAAUGCUGGUCUCCUCCUCCAUUUUUUUUUUGGUUCCUACCCCAAUGGUUCUUGACAUUUACUGGCUAACAUAAAUUUGAGCUGAAUUCAUUUCUUGACAGCUUAUCUGUAAAAAGCCAAUUAAAAUAAUCCAGCCUCUGGUUUAAAGUGUUCUAACAAAGAAGGGUGUGGAAUAACACAAUCAACAUUAAACUAUGUGAGGAUCAAAUAUUCUAAUAUUUAGCGAAUUUAUUUCAUCAGCUCACUGAGGAAGCUUUUCAGACAGUGAACAGAUUUACAGACAUUUCUGUACACGCCACAUUUUUGCUCCACUUUGUUUUCUGAACACUUAAAAUAGCAAUCGCUAAACAGAAAGUGAUGCAGGACACUCUCUGACGAGACAUGCAUCAAUCCAGAGAUGUGUUAACUCAUCUUAAAGCUGAUAAAUGUGAAUUUUCACCUAUAAGGGAAAAAAAAUGUUGAGUACAGCAAACCUUGGCAGACUAGUUUCUGUACGUAACUGAAUAAAUCAGCCCUGAAGACUCGCCAACUACCUGUCAGUUUUAAUUCAAAAGUACUGCUCUCAUAUUAGCAACCCUUCUCUGGCAUGUGCUGAAGAUAAAAGCACCGACCUAUUUA
Molecule: non-coding RNA, 2793 nt
Organism: Oryzias latipes (Japanese medaka)
Lineage: Eukaryota; Metazoa; Chordata; Actinopteri; Beloniformes; Adrianichthyidae
Source: RefSeq, a predicted model, not a curated record